RNAcentral lists this ribosomal RNA (253 nucleotides) under uncultured bacterium. RNAcentral describes it as "partial 16S ribosomal RNA". It matches the Rfam family "Bacterial small subunit ribosomal RNA", at positions 524 to 776 of the family's 1533-position model. The record is from RNAcentral.
UACGUAGGGGGCGAGCGUUGUCCGGAUUUAUUGGGCGUAAAGAGCGCGCAGGCGGUCGUUCAAGUCGCGUGUGAAAGCCCCCGGCUCAACUGGGGAGGGUCACGCGAUACUGAUCGACUCGAAGGCAGGAGAGGGUAGUGGAAUUCCCGGUGUAGUGGUGAAAUGCGUAGAUAUCGGGAGGAACACCAGUGGCGAAGGCGACUACCUGGCCUGUUCUUGACGCUGAGGCGCGAAAGCUAGGGGAGCAAACGGG